AGUUGCGUAACCCCGGCCUUAUCUGAGCUGCAUCUUUAUCUCUCAAUUAUUAUUUUGAUGUGUGUGUACGUGAAUAUAAUGAUUGCGUCCAUCUCAUCGGCAGCGUAACAUUCUCGUAAUCACGUCCCCAACGCCACGCGAGCGCAAAAACAACAAUUAGAUUUUUUCCGACGACCCCGAGCUUAUCUUGCUGUGGCUGACUGAAAUGUUGACAGUCACGUUUUCUGGUACGCGUCUUCUAAUUACUCGGAACGAUUCAUUUUUAUCUAGAGGACAAUCAGAACGUUUUGCAAGUUCUUAUAUGUUCCGAGAAAAUUGCGUUAGAGUUAUUGACCGGAAUCAAUUGACAUUUCAGUUGCGUCAGAAAAAUUGUGCUGUUAUCUUGUCUUCGAGCAUUGUGUUGAAAGAAAAAAAUCAUCAAAUUGCAAAAACUAUCUUGUAGAAUCAAUCUUGAGACGGUGGUACAAAUAAUUUGUUUUAAAUGCAGAAAGUAUACUAUUUGCAUUUCAAAUGAUGCUGAUUCAUUUAUCACUGGAUAUUUUCUGUCCAAAUUCACCAUCUAUAAAUUCAUUAUUAUAAAUUUUAUUGGUUACAAGAGAGAGAAUAAAAUCAA
Neocloeon triangulifer is the source of this 613-nucleotide long non-coding RNA. RefSeq lists it as uncharacterized. The transcript has 3 exons. The record is from RefSeq and is a predicted model, not a curated record. Lineage: Eukaryota; Metazoa; Arthropoda; Insecta; Ephemeroptera; Baetidae.